AAACGUUCUCAGGUUAUCAAAAUCGUUUUUAAGAAUUGUGCUAAAUAUGGAAAUUUAUAUAAAAUGAUCGUUGUUUCAAGUUUCUUUACUAAAUGGCGGGUGGAAUUUCUUCAUUAUUAUCGAGACAGUUUAGAAACUUUGUUCCACUUGUAAUAAGGACACUAGCUAAUCUUCCCAAACCGGUAAAACAACUAAAAUUAAUAACCAUUUGGAAAAUAAAAAAAAACGGAAAUAAGUAAAAAAAAAAUAAAGUUGUAACUUACUUUGACACGUAGUUCUCGUAAAGGUUGAGGCAUUAACAAGGAUCUAAUCUGGGUUUCUAUGGGACCAUCCGUACCAGCACAUAACAUCGUAUCGCCUUCCCUUAAAGUACCGUUUACCAAAAUAACAUCAAUGGUGGUACCUGAAAUCGAAUAUACCGACAGAAAAAUGAAA
Molecule: long non-coding RNA, 435 nt
Organism: Diorhabda carinulata
Lineage: Eukaryota; Metazoa; Arthropoda; Insecta; Coleoptera; Chrysomelidae
Exons: 2
Source: RefSeq, a predicted model, not a curated record